Antechinus flavipes (yellow-footed antechinus) is the source of this 1788-nucleotide long non-coding RNA. RefSeq lists it as uncharacterized. Lineage: Eukaryota; Metazoa; Chordata; Mammalia; Dasyuromorphia; Dasyuridae. The record is from RefSeq and is a predicted model, not a curated record. The transcript is spliced from 3 exons.
AGAAAGAGACAGACACAGAGAGGAGAAAGAGACAGAGAGAAUCGGUGUUGGGGGGGAGGGGUUAUUUGGGGAGGGAAGCAGUACUCCAAUCUGUAAAUCUCUAGCCACUCCCGAGUCUUUUGCUAGUCUCCAUUUGCAGGAUUCCAGUUUGCUGGCUGUUAAUUUCACCCUAGGAAACAUUCCCCAGACAAUGAAAGAGAGCAGGGGCCAAUCAAUUUCAUCGCUGCCGCCAUAAAUUCCACAAGCCACAGCUUCUCUUUCCUUGUUUCCUGCCUAAUUGCUGACCACUGAGGGGGAAGAAGCUCAUUUCAUUUGCCAGACCUCCAGGGAAAUGACUCCUGGAGCAAUAAGUGACUUGUCCAAAGUCAUACAAUUAGUUAAUAUAAAACUAGGAAAUGAAAUUGCAUCUCUUAUUUCAUGCGCUGUCACACUGGCCAGAUAUCUAAGACCAAAACUAUAUCCACUAAAUUCAAUGGGAAGGUAAAUUAUACAAAAUAUAGCACAGUGAGAAGAGAACUGAAUUUGGAGUCUGAAGAUCUCAGUUCAAAUCCCAGAUGAAUAAAUACAUGCUGUGUGACUUUGGAUAAGUCUAUGUAUCUCAGUUUGCACAUCUGUAAAUUGUAUGACUUUUGUCAAAGUAAAAUGAAGUACUUUUUAACUUUAAAUCCAUUAUCCUAUGAUGAUUCAAAAACUAUACUAUUUCAGAAAUUCCCUGAUCAUGCUUUACUUCACUAUUUUAUUCCCUCUUCUGCUACCUCCUUUAUAAUCUUUCACAAAAUUCUCUAUUUCUCCCCUGGACUAAUUCUAAAGCAAUGAUCAAAUUAAUUCUGCAAUUGUUCCUGGACAUGUCAAUCUACAUCCCAGAAAAACAAGAAAGGGCCAGGAUAUGAAGUUUUUCAUUUCAUUCAGUUAUUGAAAGUCUCCAAGAACUUUGAGUAGGUUCACUAAGAAAAAAUUAUGAGAAAGCAUGAACAGGAAGGUGAGUAAAGUAGAAGUAGAGACACAUGAAACCAUAGACACAAAUUAAGUCUCACUUCAGUACUUUUUCCAUCUUGACUCUGGUGCUGUGAUCCCUUCUCUGAGAAACUUAUAACUUUAUAAAGACAUAAAACUUCCAAUAUAAUGUGUAAAUGCUGCCACAGCAGUGAAAUUCUGUUUUAUCUUUGUAUCAACCAAUCUUCAUCAGAGUGCUUGAUUUAACAGAGGCACUUAAGAAAUGUUUGAACUGACACAAAUAAACUUGAGAGUAAUACUAGGUGUAUGUAAGCAUGAGCUUGAUUAAAUAUAAUCUCAUGGGAGAAACUUAAAUGCUCAGGACCAAAAGGAAAGUGGUUGAUUUAAGUAUUUGAGUCAUAAAAAGCCUUCAGAAAUGUUAUGCCAAAGUUCCCUUUUAAUGUUGUGACCCAGUUUCUCCAAUUGUCCUAUUUAGUUAGGUUAUAACCUUUCCCUCUUAAUGUUUGAGAUAAAGGUUGUAUAGAUAUUCCUUCUUAAUGUUUGACAAGAUAAAACUUUAUCCAUUUUAGAUGUCAUUAGAAUAUCAGUAACCUCCCUCCAUUAUGUUAUCCCCACCUAGGUACCUCCACUAUGUCAUUAUUCUUGUUAUUCUAUAAAAAGCUUGCUGUCCUGAUAUUUGGGGCUAGACUCUUUGAGAUGAUAGUCUCGUCUAGCCCUAGAAUCAAACAUGGAUCCAUUGGUCCCAGUAUUUUUCUCCAUUUAAUAAACUAUUGAAUUGGUCUUUAAUCUCUGUCUUGCUCAGUUUCUUCGGCAUUACAGAAACAGAGAUAAGAC